UACGAAGGGGGCUAGCGUUGCUCGGAAUGACUGGGCGUAAAGGGCGCGUAGGCGGCUUGUAUAGUCGGAUGUGAAAUUCCUGGGCUUAACCUGGGGGCUGCAUACGAGACGUAUGGGCUUGAGUGCGGAAGAGGGUCGUGGAAUUCCCAGUGUAGAGGUGAAAUGCGCAGAUAUCGGGAGGAACACCAAUGGCGAAGGCAGCUCGCUGGGACGGUACUGACGCUGAGGCGCGAAAGCGUGGGGAGCAAACAGG
Molecule: ribosomal RNA, 253 nt
Filed under: uncultured bacterium
Lineage: Bacteria
Description: partial 16S ribosomal RNA
Rfam family: Bacterial small subunit ribosomal RNA
Source: RNAcentral